CCCAAGAGCGUCAAGUGCGCACAUAGAGAUGAGAGUGAACAUGGGCGUCAUGGAGGGAGGGGCGAGGAGACAUGGCGGCGGUGCUCCACAUUUACAUUCUUUACGCCUUUGAUCUGAUUGAUGGUGUUCCAAAGGCGACAGUAACGUUUUUAAAAGCGUGAAUCCACCAACACUGUCCGUGUCCUCCACAUUCCCCCCUGAAAGAAGACUUUGCCUCCAUGUUCGCCUCGGGGUGGGGGGAGAAGCGGUCCGUAGUCGCCGCUCGACUCGACCAGAUGAACAUCAAUCAAUCAAAUCGUGACACAACGUCAACCGACGCGCUGCCUGUUCGAUAUGUUUAGUGCGUAAUUCGGUUUAAAACUCGAACGCAGCGGAGAAAAGAAGUAACGUGAAAGAUUUGCUCCGUUUUGUCCGUUUCAUCGCUGUGGUUAUUGUUUCUAGUGGGGAAAGGACGGCUGCAGCGGCGGACAGGAGGGGGGCGCAGCGGCGGACAGGAGGGGGGCGUGGCCUCCGGGUUUAGAAAUUCUAUCCAUUGUUCCACUCCAACGCGCGAAGAGAACACCUCUGUGGCGCCAACAGCCAAUCAGCUGCCGCCGACCUCCUCUGGGCGCCGCCCACCAGCCUAUAUUAAAGGCUCGGCCGUCAGCAGCAUUGGCCACUGGCACAAUAUAACACUGAUUGAUCCACUAACCGAGGAGAGGGAUUUACUUUAUUCAACCUUUCAUUUCAGCCGUCCUUUAUUUUAUUCAACUAAAACAAUGGCAGACACAAAAGUUGACUCCGGCUCGGAUAUCUCUGCCAAGGACCUGAAGGAGAAGAAGCUGCUGGAGGAGAAGGAGAACGGCAAAGAUGCCGCCACCAACGGAAAGGAGAAUGAGGAGAACGGCGAGCCUGAGGUAGAUGAUGAAGAUGAUGAUGAGGUUGACGAGGAGGACGAGGAAGACGAUGUAGAAGGUGACGAGGAAGACGAGGAGGACGAUGAUGAUGAAAUUGAGGGCGGCACAAAACGGGCAGCUGAGGAUGACGACGACGACGACGAGGACGACGUCGAAACCAAGAAGCAGAAAACCGACGACGACGAUUGAUGCGUUUCCCCCCCACGCCACUUCCUGGUUCUUCACCUCUGACUGUUUUUAUAUGUCACCGGUGGGGGGGCGGGAGGACUGAUUUUAAAAGGAGAAAAAAUAAUAAUAAAGAAAAAAAAUCCAACAUGGUCAUUAGCAAGUAGAGUUCAACAAACAUCUACCACACACACACACACACACACACACACACACACACACUCACACACACUCACUCUCACACACACUCAAUCUCCCCGCAAAACUGCAAAUUUUCUAGAGGAACCCCCCACCCCCACCACAUCGAUGCAGAAAUCCGGCUCAACAACAACAACAACACGAAAGGAGAAUUUGUUUGUAUUUUUAUUUACAUUUUAUAUUUUUGUACAUAUUGUUCGGAGGGGGGGCAGUUUCUCUCAGCAGCGAUCUCGUCAGACCAAAUCGGUGCUUCUUUAACGAAAGAUUUUACUUGGUUGACCAUGUUACGAUAUCUCAACAGAUACUAGAAAAACCAGUUACAACCAUGACAGACGACCUUAAAGCCGUUGAACUCAGAGCAUUCCAGUAAAUUUAAUGUAUGUACUUUAGCUGUACCAUAACUAGUUUGUUUGUAUGGGGGGGGUAAGGCCGAAGGAAAGAGCCUCUUUUCUUUUCUUUUGUUUUAUGACGGCCUGUUUUGAUGUAUGUGCGAAGUUUGUUGUUUGACAAUAAACCGGACUUUUAUUUUGUGAGUUGUACUUUGUAUCUCUGCUUGUUUUUUCCUCAGUGACGAAGACGUUCGGGUGAAGGUGAACCAGUCCUGCGCUCAAAUACUCCUGACGUACAUGUAUUUGUGUAUUUCCAUUUCAUUGGUAACUUAUACUUUAACUCCACCAGAUUUCAGGGCUUGUAUUGCACAUGUUUUAUUCACGGCUCAAUCGAGAGAAGAAGAACUUCUUUCUUGUAAAUGUCCAGAAGGUUUAUCUUCUGCAGGACUUCAGGAGUCUUUAGGAAACAUUACUUUGUUGCUAUAAAGGUCAGAAAAAUAUUACAAUUUUGCAGAUAUUCACAUCUGAUAAUAAUUAAUAUAAUAAAACCCUGCUGCAGAAUGUUUAGAUGUUAUAAGUACAUGUUGCUGAUCAUACUUUAAUAUCAUUCUCUACUUUAGGACUCGUUCUACAUUAUAGUUUAUUCAUUUUACAGAAACUCUUCAGAUAAAGAUUCAAU
Cottoperca gobio is the source of this 2267-nucleotide long non-coding RNA. Ensembl annotates it as prothymosin alpha-B-like. Lineage: Eukaryota; Metazoa; Chordata; Actinopteri; Perciformes; Bovichtidae. The record is from Ensembl.